GAUGAACGCUGGCGGCGUGCCUAAUACAUGCAAGUCGAGCGAACGGAUGAGAAGCUUGCUUCUCUGAUGUUAGCGGCGGACGGGUGAGUAACACGUGGAUAACCUACCUAUAAGACUGGGAUAACUUCGGGAAACCGGAGCUAAUACCGGAUAAUAUUUUGAACCGCAUGGUUCAAAAGUGAAAGACGGUCUUGCUGUCACUUAUAGAUGGAUCCGCGCUGCAUUAGCUAGUUGGUAAGGUAACGGCUUACCAAGGCAACGAUGCAUAGCCGACCUGAGAGGGUGAUCGGCCACACUGGAACUGAGACACGGUCCAGACUCCUACGGGAGGCAGCAGUAGGGAAUCUUCCGCAAUGGGCGAAAGCCUGACGGAGCAACGCCGCGUGAGUGAUGAAGGUCUUCGGAUCGUAAAACUCUGUUAUUGGGGAAGAACAUAUGUGUAAGUAACUGUGCACAUCUUGACGGUACCUAAUCAGAAAGCCACGGCUAACUACGUG
Molecule: ribosomal RNA, 497 nt
Filed under: uncultured bacterium
Lineage: Bacteria
Description: partial 16S ribosomal RNA
Rfam family: Bacterial small subunit ribosomal RNA
Source: RNAcentral